AGUGCUGGGAUUACAGGCAUGAGCCACUGCACCCAACCUAUUCCUUACUUUUAUAGGCUCAACGUUUUUAGCUUCCACAUACAAGUGAGAACAUGUGGUAUUUACCUUUCUGUGCCUGGCUUAUUUCACUUACCAUAUGAUCCAGUAAUCCCACUACUGGGUAUAUAUCCAAAGGAAAGGCAGGGAAAUCCAUUUCCCAAAGAGUUGUCUGCACUCCCAUGUGUAUUGCAGCACUAUUCACAAUAGCCAAGAUAUGGAAUCAACCUGUGUCCAUCAACAAAUGAGUGGAUGAAGAAAGUGUACAUACACCUCGGAAUACAAAUUUGACCACGAGAAAGAAUACAAUCCUGUCAUUUGUGGCAAUGUAGCUGAGCUGAAGGAAAUCCGUAUUUUUAUAAGUCGUUACAGAUAGGGGUGGUCUUGGACCACACUUUGAGAAAUGCUUCUUGGAUAAAAGCCCCAUUAUAUGGACAAAUAUAUUUCCUUUAGUCCUCAGUUCAAGUAGAGAAGGGCUUGUUUAUACGGAGAUACCAGCUAAGUGAUUUGGGGAAGUGGGGAGAAUGAGAAAUCAACUGAGUGCCACCCAUUAGCACCCCUUCGGAACAAAUUAUUGCAAUUUACCUCUUUUGCCCAAGAGAAAGAAGCUGAGAACAGAGAAGCUUUGAUAGGAUUUGAUAGGGAGAGUGAGGCGCCAGGCCACCGUGUCCAGUUAACCAAGCCUCCUCCCACCCUGGCCAUGAGCUAGAAUAAUGCUCAUGUAUUUGCUGGUUAAAGGAGAUGGCUUGGGGACCUGGGUUAUCCCUGCAGGGAGCAACUAUCUCCUCUGCUCAUCUUAAACAAGAUAAUUGCAAAGCGGUUCCCUGCCAGCCCAUCCUCUUAACAAAGAAGGUGAGAUAAAAGAGAUGGCAUUCCUCCUGCUGGGCCCAGCAGGCUUGACAACCAGUGCCAGUCAUGGGGAAAAUGUCCCUUUCAGCCAACUCGAGAUCUUUCAAAACAGACCCAGGCAGUUUCUUUGAGGGCUGAAAGCCAGGAAACGGGUUCCUGUUGGCCGAGGCUUGGAAGGAGGGCCUGCCUGGUCCGUUGGCCCAUACCAGGCUUCCUUAGCGCCUCUGCUAGGAGCCAGUUAUCCUGCAGGCUGACUCAGCCUCUGCCCAGCCAUGAUCUGAAGCUGCUCUCUGCUGUUUUAAGCUGAGCACUGCAACCAGGGACCUCAGACACCAGAGACAAUGCAGGCCUCCAGAAAGCAGGAGAAGGACUUCUAAAUCAAGGCUGGCAGGAGGAAUGGGAAAUGGGCAUUCAAGGACAUGGCAGUAUGCUAUGCUCUGUACAUCAGGACCUCAUGGAAACCAGAAAGCCCGAGGUCUUGGAAUCCUGAACAGUGUUCCAGGUAGCCAAAGCUGGUCUGCAGAAUGAAGCUGAUGUGCACAAAGAUAUUCUGCCUUCAACGGAGGUGUGAGGAUCAGCUCCGUCUGGGUCAUGCCUGGAGUCCAGCUUCUCUCCUCUCCCAAAAUGACUCCGAUUUGGUGCUCAACCUUGUGAUCACAGAUUGCCAAUAAACGAUUAGCUUGAAAAUGCUGCCUGCAUUCUUCUCUCUCCAGGGAUAAAAGGUGGCUUGAGUUUUCUCCUUUAAAGUGUACUUGUGAAUAUAAAGAUCUUCCUCCCUGAAACUGAUGCAGAUCCUGGGUAGAGAUUUUUUUAAGCCUUUAAUUUCAUUGCAUGAAGGAACAAGAGGUACCUCCCUUCUGCCAUGGAUCUUCUAAGCCUCAGGGCCUUGUUUGUACCUUGAGUCUGUGGCUUUUUUUCAAAAAUGGAGCCACACUAUCUGCAUUAUUCUGUAACUUAGUUUUUAAUCACAUAUUUUGAAAACUUUCCCAUGUAUGGACAUAAUAUCCAUGAAAAAAAUUUAACCUGUACUAAAGAUAAAAAAAUUUAACCUGUAUUAAAGACAAAUUAUGUCAGGUGUUAAACAAACACACCCUUUGGUCUAGUACAUGUUGAAAGUUUUUGUGCCAUUUGUCUUUUUUGAUUUUGGGACUGGUGGUUUUUCCCUCUUCAACAGAUUUUAAAAAUACAUAGUCAAAUAUAUCACUUCUAUUCUCUACCAUUUUUGUCAUUCUUAGAAACACUAGCGUUUGUGUGGCUAAAUUCAGUAUUUUCUUGCCCUCUUACGGUUUUUGCUGCAAAGACAAGGUAAGCAAGACUAUUUUUGUCACCCAGUUUUAUCAUCACCAUUUACUGAAUGGUUCACCAUUCCCAUUGAUGUGAAAAGUACCUUCUUCCUAACCCAAAAUACACAUAGGAACAAAGUCAUUUGUGGACUUUUAAUUAUUAAGAGGCAGCCCCAGCUUCAGAUGUUAGAGACUAACAUUUUAUCCCCUGACUUUUCUAAGAAGCAGUAUCCUUAGACUCUUCGAAGACUUUUUUUUUAAUUGGGAUUGCACAUUUAGACAACUUUACAAUUGUUACAAAAGUACAAAAGGCAGUUUCAAAGAACAGUGCCUUUCACUUUGCAAUGAAUUUGGAUGUUUGGGAAUUUGAUUUUUAACAUCUAAAUGCAUGCUAUUCCUUACCUGAAAGCUAUACAGGCUGCUAAGAAUUUGAGAAGUAGAUGGGAUGCAGACAUCAUCUGGUCCAGUGUUUUCAGUUGACAAAGAAACUUAGGCUCAGAGAAGGGCAGGGAUGUGACCCAGGUCAGAGGGUGAUCUGGCGGUAUGGUUGGGAGCAGGAACCGAGGGUUCCAGCCCCUUCUCUGGGGCUUCCCUUCCACCACAUGAUGGAUCUGACAAUCCUGUGUUCCAAACAUUUCCUGCCUGAGGCUGCAGACUGGUAAGACCUCUAAAGCCAUGAAAAUCCCACAAACGUUCCUCCCCACCCAGCCGCCCCACACACCCCCAUCACACAAAGUCAGUGACCCACAGUGAAGAGAAAAGAUAUUUAAUUAUUUCUCAGGCUAAUCUCUUAAAGCGCUCAAAGUGUUUUCACAAGUGCAAGGGGAGGGAUUGUUCUCAGCCAACAUUUACCAGUGAUUCCGACACACGCAAAAACACUCCCAAUCACGGUGCUUUAUACUUACUUUUAAUUUCUGCACUGAAAAAGAAAAGGAAGGUAAAAACAAUGACAGAUUAGUUUACAGUGACUUCAUCUUUGUCCUUAAAUUAACCUUUGCUCUUGAGAGCAGAAGAGGGAAAGACAGGGGAACAUCAAAGCAUGAUGGUGAAACGGUGACCAGGACACCUCGGUCUGGCUAACAAGGGUUCUAAAAACUUGGACACGGUGCCGUCAACGCACUAGUUUGUAAACACUGACAGGCAACAGUUAAGAUACAUUAAAAAAAAA
Molecule: long non-coding RNA, 3336 nt
Filed under: Homo sapiens (human)
Lineage: Eukaryota; Metazoa; Chordata; Mammalia; Primates; Hominidae
Description: HSALNT0318210
Source: RNAcentral